AAAAAAAGUGUGCAUCUCCUCAUGUCAGAUACUGGCUCAAUGACAGACUCAGCACAGAGCGGCUGUUUUCUUUGGAAAAAUCAAAUACAAUCCUCCAGUUACUUUAAGACAAGCCUCUAGUUCUCUAGUCAGCUCAUGUCUUCAGCAUCCCCAUUCAUGCACGGAAAGUCCUGCUCUCACAAAAAGAAAAAGCAGGAUUAUUUGUUCUAGCCUUUCAGAGCCCGUUCCUCCUGUAUCCCUGUGCUCCUCGUCUUUCUGUUCCUCUGCAAGGUCACCUGAAGGAGGUGAACCCAAUCAGAGCUUCAGAAAUGUUGACGGGUGCUGUUCAACAGAUUGAGAAAGUAAAGUAUAAUUCUAUUUUAUGAUAACUUCUCUGAAAGUGUCUGUCUCCGAACUUUCAUUCUGGAGGUUUCUGUCCAGGGACACACAACUAUUAAAUACAGCUGUUCCAGAAAGGAGACCUGCUUCAUUCAGGCUCCAUUUAUGAAAUUUGUGUUUUUGGAGUUUUUAGCACAUUCUUGUGGUAUUUUUUCAUCUUUAUGGACAUAUGUAAAGAAAAAAUCAAGUAAUUGAAAAUCAGGAGAAGACAAAAAAUGCUGUUUGAAUUAUUUUUUUUGGCAAAAAAGCGGCACAAUCAUAAUUGAAAGACCACUGGGAACAGAUCAAAAGAUGAUUGGAGUGGGACUUUCAGAUAGAAGAUUUGCUGGAUUUGUUUUUUUUUGGCCCUACCUUAAAAUUGAAAUUAUCCAAAAUGAACAAAAACUAAGAUAAAUCAUAUAUUUAUAUUUUAUUAUAAUAUAAUAUAUAUAUAUAUUUAAAGCUAAAGAAACAACCCUCUACUUAAAAGCCCUCCUUUAACAACAAACAUAUAUGGUGAAGGAUAAAUAACACAAUGGCAUUAUAUAUAAAUUGGUCAAAGUGCCCUUUUCAUUAACCUUUUGAUAUUUCUAAUUUUAAAUAAUUAAACCAGUCCGGUUUUUCUCAGCUAAGUUUACUUCAACAGUGCCAAAUUCUAAUUAGCUGUGCUGUGGAUGUAGAGUGGUCAACCUGCAAUGGGAAAGUUGAAGGUUGGUAGACAACCUGAUUUUCUGUGUAUCAAAGUGUCCUUGGGCAAGCUACUGAACCCCAUAUUGUUCCACCAGGAGCAAGCCAUCAGUGUGUGAAUGUGUGCUGUGCACCGGUGAAGGGGACUGUGCCUGUAAAGUGCUUUGGGCCUGUAUUGAGGUAGAAAACAGCCAUAUACGACAUUUAGCGUUUUCUGUAAAUCCCUUUCUUUAAAAAAAAAAAAAACAAUCUGACGCAACAUAAUUUCUUUUAUUAUGACUAUACACACUGCAAAACCGAAACAAAAGAAUCCAAAUUCAAUACUCCUUCACGUUGCAUCAGUAUGCAUUUACUGGUAACAUUUCCAUAUUGAUUAUCCUGUAAUUUCACAGAAGCACUCAGGUUCUUUUUUCCCCCACAGUUGUUGGAUAUUUACUUGAGAAAACUAUAAUACGUUCAUACGAAACCUGCUUUUUUCUCAUCCCUGUGCUGAAUAUUGCAGCACAAAGUCUGCAGAAGUAAUCCCUUUUGAUGUGGAUCUAAUACGGUAUAGACGUACAUCACUCAAAGCAUUAAUUUUAGUUUAAAUGCAGAGGGUGCUGCAAUUACCGCUGGUAUGGAAUUUAUAUGUGAAUGACAGUUUUAAUGACGCUCUGUUCUCCUCUCCAUACCAUUCAUUUGCAUUAGUCUGUUAAAUUGGCUUGUCCCACAGUGUUGGC
Molecule: long non-coding RNA, 1763 nt
Organism: Oryzias sinensis (Chinese medaka)
Lineage: Eukaryota; Metazoa; Chordata; Actinopteri; Beloniformes; Adrianichthyidae
Source: Ensembl